ACGGCCUGCUCGGGGUUCCCGACGCGGGCGCGUUCCUGGCCCGCCUGACCCGGCUGGAUCCGGGAGCGCCGGUCCGGCUCCGGUCGGCCGGC
RNAcentral lists this transfer RNA (92 nucleotides) under Actinoplanes siamensis. Its description in RNAcentral is "tRNA-Arg". The record is from RNAcentral. Lineage: Bacteria; Bacillati; Actinomycetota; Actinomycetes; Micromonosporales; Micromonosporaceae.